Molecule: long non-coding RNA, 313 nt
Filed under: Mytilus galloprovincialis (Mediterranean mussel)
Lineage: Eukaryota; Metazoa; Mollusca; Bivalvia; Mytilida; Mytilidae
Source: RNAcentral
UUAUAUAAAAUUGAGAAUGGAAAUGGGGAAUGUGCCAAAGAGACAACAACCUGACCAUAGAAAAAAAAACAACAGCAGAAGGUCACCAACAGGUCUUCAAUGUAGCGAGAAAUUCCAGCACCCGGAGGCGUCCUUCAGCUGGCCCCUAAACAAAUAUAUACUAGUUCAGUGAUAAUGAACGCCAUACUAAUUUCCAAAUUGUACACAAGAAACUAAAAUUAAAAUAAUACAAGACUAACAAAGGCCAGAGGCUCCUGACUUGGAACAGGCGCAAAAAUGCGGCGGGGUUAAACAUGUUUGUGAGAUCUCAACC